This 253-nucleotide ribosomal RNA is filed under the name uncultured bacterium. Its description in RNAcentral is "partial 16S ribosomal RNA". It matches the Rfam family "Bacterial small subunit ribosomal RNA", at positions 524 to 776 of the family's 1533-position model. The record is from RNAcentral.
UACGUAGGGGGCAAGCGUUGUCCGGAUUUAUUGGGCGUAAAGAGCUCGUAGGCGGUUUGUCGCGUCUGCCGUGAAAGUCCGGGACUCAACUCCGGAUCUGCGGUGGGUACGGGCAGACUAGAGUGAUGUAGGGGAGACUGGAAUUCCUGGUGUAGCGGUGAAAUGCGCAGAUAUCAGGAGGAACACCGAUGGCGAAGGCAGGUCUCUGGGCAUUAACUGACGCUGAGGAGCGAAAGCAUGGGGAGCGAACAGG